Molecule: ribosomal RNA, 500 nt
Filed under: uncultured Glomeromycotina
Lineage: Eukaryota; Fungi; Glomeromycota
Description: partial small subunit ribosomal RNA
Rfam family: Eukaryotic small subunit ribosomal RNA
Source: RNAcentral
CCAAUAGCGUAUAUUAAAGUUGUUGCAGUUAAAAAGCUCGUAGUUGAAUUUCGGGGUUAGUACGCUGGUCGUGCCUUCGGUACGUACUGGUGUUACUGAUUCCUACCUUCUGAAGAACCGUCAUGUCAUUAAUUUGGUGUGGCGGGGAAUCAGGACUGUUACUUUGAAAAAAUUAGAGUGUUUAAAGCAGGCUCGCGCUUGAAUACAUUAGCAUGGAAUAAUGAAAUAGGACGUUUGAUCCUAUUUUGUUGGUUUCUAGGAUUGACGUAAUGAUUAAUAGGGAUAGUUGGGGGCAUUAGUAUUCAAUUGUCAGAGGUGAAAUUCUUGGAUUUAUUGAAGACUAACUACUGCGAAAGCAUUUGCCAAGGAUGUUUUCAUUAAUCAAGAACGAAAGUUAGGGGAUCGAAGACGACCAGAUACCGUCGUAGUCUUAACCAUAAACUAUGCCGACUAGGGAUCGGAUGAUGUUAAUUUUUUAAUGACUCAUUCGGCGCCUUACG